RNAcentral lists this long non-coding RNA (531 nucleotides) under Ananas comosus (pineapple). Its description in RNAcentral is "long non-coding RNA (ACOM_LNC036623)". The record is from RNAcentral. Lineage: Eukaryota; Viridiplantae; Streptophyta; Magnoliopsida; Poales; Bromeliaceae.
CUGGUCAAGAUGGUUAUAAAUAUAUUAAAGAGGCUUGAUGGUUAGUACUCGAUUGAGAUCUCAAAUUCAAAGUUUAGCUUUAUAUUUCCAACUAAAUUCAUUUCUAAAAGAUGAACGAAACAAAUAUCAUACUAACUUUCUUUCUAAAAAAAAAAAAUUGAAAGUCUCAAAUCGAAUUAUUAACUUGAAUAUAAAUUUUGUAACACUUGACCUGCAUACAAUAACAACUCGUUAAACUCAAAUCACCUGCCUACAAUACUUAAGGUUAAUUAAUAUUAUUUGUGUUUAUAAUCUUUUAUAUAUCCAAUCACAAUCUCAUUCUUAUCGAAUGUAGAAUUAUUAGGAUAUCAGAAAUUUGCACUGAUCCGCUUAACUUAUCACUGAAACCUAAAGGACUCAAUGCUCACCACAAUCUAAUGGGUGAUAUGACUCGAAAGGAACGGAAGAAUCUUCGAGAAUAAGAAAGUAAAAAGUAAAUUUGAGACAACUAUUGUUUGAGAUUAGGUAUCUUUCGGGGUUUGGGAAAAAUAU